GACGAACGCUGGCGGCGUGCUUAACACAUGCAAGUCGAGCGGUAAGGCCCUUUCGGGGGUACGACGAGCGGCGAACGGGUGAGUAACACGUGGGUGACCUGCCCUCAGCUUUGGGAUAAGCCUGGGAAACCGGGUCUAAUACCGGAUAUGACUCCAUGACGCAUGUUGUGGGGUGGAAAAGCCUUGUGCGGCUGAGGAUGGGCCCGCGGCCUAUCAGCUUGUUGGUGGGGUGAUGGCCACCAAGGCGACGACGGGUAGCCGGCCUGAGAGGGCGACCGGCCACACUGGGGACUGAGACACGGCCCC
This 306-nucleotide ribosomal RNA is filed under the name uncultured bacterium. RNAcentral describes it as "bacterial SSU rRNA". It matches the Rfam family "Bacterial small subunit ribosomal RNA", at positions 28 to 333 of the family's 1533-position model. The record is from RNAcentral.